RNAcentral lists this long non-coding RNA (822 nucleotides) under Vigna radiata. Its description in RNAcentral is "long non-coding RNA (VRAD_LNC015847)". Lineage: Eukaryota; Viridiplantae; Streptophyta; Magnoliopsida; Fabales; Fabaceae. The record is from RNAcentral.
AGAAGAUGAGAGUGUGAAAUUGAGUGCUUGGGCGUGUGAGACUGCAGCAGUGCAAAUGGUGUCCCAAUGCUUGGCAAUAAGAUGAACACUUGGAGUGCAAUGGGACAAACAAGAGUGGGUGGUGGUCAGAAUGCUUGUAGGUGUGGGAUUGGGUCGUGAAAGUGGAGAGUGUGAGUGAGAGAAUGAGCAAAAGUUGAGUGAAAGAGUGAAUGUGUGCGAGGUGGGUAUCGGUGAUGGUGUGAGGGCAAAAAUGGGUGGUGACCGUGAGAGUGUGAGAGUGAAGGUUGGUCGUGGGAAAAGUGUGAAUGGGCGAGUAGUGGUGGCCGGAGUAGAAAGAGAGUGAGGAGGUGAGGGUUUGAUGGUUUGGGCGAAAGGGAAAAAGUGAGAUGGGUUGAACAGGAGGGUUGUGGUGAAGUGGGUUAGAGUGAGAGAGUGAUAGACAUGGUGGUUGGAGUGGCCGUGAAUGGGGUUUAGGGUUUGGAGAAGGAGAAGGUGUGGUGGUCAGUGUUGGUCAGUGGUGGUCGUGAGUUCAAAGUGGUGGUUUGGGUUUGGGAGAAUGGAGGAGCGUGAGUGAGUGAGGGAGAAUGUGGUGGUUGGGAGUGAAAAAGAGACAGAGAGUGUGAGCGAGAAGGGCGCAGGGGUGGCGUGAGUUGUAGGGUAGGAAAAACUUUAAAUGGGUCAGAUACUGUGCACUCAAGCCCAAGACAAAUUUCAUUUUUCUGCAGAACUUACGCCCGGAUGCCCUCUAGGGGGCGCUUGGGCACGACUUUUAACUGGGAAGCAGCAGAACAGGGGCGUUGGGCGCCCUUUUGGAGGCGCUUG